ACCUCCGUCUGCGGUUGGAGAGAGGAGAUGGACUGGCAAAAUAUCUUGCGAGCCCACCUCCCGCGUCUCCAUCGACCUAGCCGCCUCCAUGCUCAUGCAUCCUCCCGCGUCAAUGGCGCCCAAACCUCCUCAUCUUGGAUCCCGUGGGACCGAGGUGCGGGCAUGGAGGCGAGCAUCCCUGGCGGCCACGGCGACCUACAGGCAAAGGGUGGCGGUGGGGGCGGCGCUCGAUUAGAUCUGCGGGAGAGAGAGGGAGAGGAUGAGAGGGAGAGAUAAGGAAGAAGAUGAGGGAGAGAGAGAGAGAGAGUGAGAGAGAGGAAAGGGGAGAGGAAGGGCUUCUACGUCACCGCUCUCUGGAUGCACGCCAUCCACCCGCACACGCUCGCCACCAACCUCGCCGACUUCGCCAGGUUCGGCUUCCUCAAGGACCUUCCCGAGAUCCUCUAUCGUUUCCUCCGUGACCCCCGCGAUGAGCGCAAGGACCAGGACGAUAUCACCGCGGCGGCCCUGGGGGCAAGAGCGGCAAGCGGCAAGCGGCGCGGCGUCGACGGCCUUGCCGCCGCGGCGGCGGAGGCCGCCAAGGCCCGGUGCGAGAAGGAGGCGGAGCACGCGCAGGACGUGCUUGCGCGCUACGACUCUGACGAGGCCUUCCGCAACCUCUACGACGGCGUCGCCGACCUCUUCGUCUAGCUGCUCAAGUCGGGCCUGGAGCACCUGCGCGCGGGCGACACGGCCAAGAUCGUGUUCGCCGCCAAGUGCGCUCGUCGUACGCAUGGGUCUCCUUUGCUCCUUGGGUGCCGCUGGCUAAGAUUUGUCGUGCUCUUCUUCUCCUCUUCUUCCGCUCUGUUCUUUACUCACCUUUCUAAUUCCGCAUGCUUCAGUUUGUUUUGGUCCUGCGCAGUUCGAUUUGCCUUAUUGUCGCCUGCCUCGAGCCGUGAUUCCUUCUAAAUAACACUGACGCUAGGCACUGGUAGGAAUCCAGAGGAAAAGAAACAGUAAACCAACGAUGUUGUUUCUUUUUUAGCCUGCUCAAGGUUUGCUCUUUCCUACUUACUGUCAUGGUGGUUGGUUCACUGCUCAUUUUAUUGUUUCAGAAUUAGCAGCCCGUCGUGUUUUGAUUUGCCUCGUGCUGCUUAUAUUUCGUGUUUGCGUGUGGGAAGGAUGUGUGCUAUAGAUUUCAUGUGUGGAUCUGAGUUACCUAGAAUGGUUGAGAACCGAAACAACUUUGUCGCUGCAAUGCGUGUGUACUGCUUUUAGACAGCAAGUACCGAUAAUCAGCUCCAACACUAAAGAUUCAUUUAAUUUUAUCAUCAUUUUUUUAAGAAUAGAUAAAUGCAACAAAUGUCUAGGUAAGAUUAUCCACUACUGAAUUGUCUUUCAUUUUGCCUUCCAAUUCAAGUGCUUACAGGAUAACACAUGCAUUUUUUUCAACCUUACGACAGUACAAAUUUUUCGAAAAGGGUUUAAAUUGGUUUCUUUUGCGAGCGAUGGGUACAUACAGUUUGGGGAAAUAGGUGUCAAGGUACAAUAACUCCUUGACGAAUCAGUAAUCAAGUGUAACAAAAUGCUGCAUAUUUAUAUUUGGGAAGUGAACCAGGCUACUCAUUGAUUAAUAAAAGCUUUAUAGUUCUGUUCUCCUUCCAUUCAUUUCUUUAGUAUUAUUCAUUUAUUCUCUUAGAUUAAAAGGUUAUUGUGAUGAUGUCCUAUUGUUCUGUAUGUAUUGGAUGGAGGAUGUGUCGUCGAACGACCUCUUCCCUUGUUGCAAUUUCCCACAUGAGCUCCUUCUUCCUGCUCCUCGCUUCACCUCCCCCCUGCUCCUUCUAUUUUUUUUAAUUUUUUUUUCUGUGAUUGUGCUCAAUGGUGCUUGCAGGUCCAUGGACAUUGUCAUAAUGGUCACCUUACGGCAGUGUAUUAUUUUUGGAUCUCGUAUUCCUCAAGGCGCUCCAUCCGCUGAUUCGAUGUCGGCCAACCUGAGAAAUAAUAGGAGCAAUAAUCCAGCAGAAGAAUUUGGUGAAGAAGAACAAGAAAAGAAUACCUUUAUCCUGAUAGGCAUGGAAACACCGGUUCGCAUUGAGUGCAUCAUCGCUAAUCAGCUACUAUGUAUGAUCAGCGGACAUGCGUGCUUAUUCCUAGAGCAACGGAUAUAGAAGAAAUAUGUAAACAGUUGUCCCUAGAAGAAAUAUGCAACAACUUAUUCAGUAGAGAGCAAGGGACAUAUAAGAAAUCUCCAGGCAGCUUCGCUUAGAUGCAUCAUCUUCUGCUAGGACCUAGGAGUCAGCUUGAAGAACGACCUUCUCAGGAGACUGCAACUGACAUGCUGGAUGGUGAAUAACCAAAUUUGUGGACAAAGACAAAGAGUUCAUCGCAAGGGGUGGUGUUUAGGAUAUAUAUACACAAAAUAGGAAACUUUCUUUUGUAUAGAACCAAAUUAUAUGAUGUAAUUGACCACUAUUUCUAAGAAAUGUUCAUCGUGUAUUAAGUACAUUUUAUUGUGUCACUUUUUUUGAGGGGUAGCUUUAUUAAUCAAACACCACAAAGUGUGCAAUAGAGUUCAUCAAACCAAGCUUUAUUGUGUCA
Molecule: long non-coding RNA, 2577 nt
Organism: Triticum dicoccoides
Lineage: Eukaryota; Viridiplantae; Streptophyta; Magnoliopsida; Poales; Poaceae
Exons: 6
Source: RefSeq, a predicted model, not a curated record